This 494-nucleotide ribosomal RNA is filed under the name uncultured bacterium. RNAcentral's name for it is "partial 16S ribosomal RNA". It matches the Rfam family "Bacterial small subunit ribosomal RNA", at positions 28 to 507 of the family's 1533-position model. The record is from RNAcentral.
GACGAACGCUGGCGGCGUGCUUAACACAUGCAAGUCGAACGGAAAGGCCUGCUUUCCCUUGUGGAUUGCGGGUACUCGAGUGGCGAACGGGUGAGUAACACGUGAGUGAUCUGCCCCCAACUUGGGUAUAAGCCUGGGAAACUGGGUCUAAUUCCCGAUAGGACUGCAGGGUGGUGCCUGUGGUGGAAAACGAUUUUCUAGUGGUUGGGGAUGAGCUCGCGGCCUAUCAGCUUGUUGGUGGGGUAAUGGCCUACCAAGGCGGCGACGGGUAGCCGGCCUGGGAGGGUGGACGGCCACAUUGGGACUGAGACACGGCCCAGACGACUACGGGAGGCAGCAGUGGGGAAUAAUGCACAAUGGGCGGAAGCCUGAUGCAGCGACGCCGCGUGAGGGAUGACGGCCGUCGGGUUGUGAACUCCUUUCGACCGCGAGGAAGCCACCUGGUUGGAAGGGUGGUGACGGUAGUGGUAGAAGAAGCACCGGCUAACUACGUG